GCCUUGUAAUAAUCUUAUGAUGGUUGCUCUUGUAAAGCGAAGGAGGUAGAUAAUAAUCUUACCACAAGGUU
This 71-nucleotide transfer RNA is filed under the name Anadara broughtonii. RNAcentral describes it as "Scapharca broughtonii tRNA-Thr". The record is from RNAcentral. RNAcentral also lists the same sequence under 1 other name. Lineage: Eukaryota; Metazoa; Mollusca; Bivalvia; Arcoida; Arcidae.